UGGGGAAUAUUGCACAAUGGAGGGAACUCUGAUGCAGCGACGCCGCGUGAGUGAUGAAGGAAUUCGUUUCGUAAAACUCUGUUCUAUGGGAAGAAAAGGACUGUACCAUAGGAGAAAGCUCCGGCUAAAUACGUGCCAGCAGCCGCGGUAAUACGUAUGGAGCGAGCGUUGUCCGGAAUUAUUGGGCGUAAAGGGUGCGCAGGCGGCUUUACAAGUUGGAUGUGAAAUAUUGUGGCUCAACCACAAACGUGCAUCCAAAACUGCAAAGCUGGAGUUAAGGAGAGGUAAGUGGAAUUCCUGGUGUAGCGGUGGAAUGCGUAGAUAUCAGGAGGAAUACCGGUGGCGAAGGCGACUUACUGGACUUAAACUGACGCUCAGGCACGAAAGCGUGGGGAGCAAACAGG
Molecule: ribosomal RNA, 404 nt
Filed under: Fusobacteriota bacterium
Lineage: Bacteria; Fusobacteriati; Fusobacteriota
Description: Fusobacteria bacterium partial 16S ribosomal RNA
Rfam family: Bacterial small subunit ribosomal RNA
Source: RNAcentral